CAUAUUCUCCCAUGAGCGGUGGCUGACAAAUUAAAAAACAACAGUGGUGUUGGCUACAAUUAAAUCUUGCGAUUGCAUAUUUCCCAUGAAAAUUGACGGCUUGUUGGUGGUGAGGUACCCAACCAACCCCUUGCGCCUCCCACUGGCCAUGAAUCAGUGGCUGGAGCUUAUUUAUUUGGGGUUAUGACCCAAAGUCAAAUAAUAAAAUUG
RNAcentral lists this long non-coding RNA (210 nucleotides) under Prunus dulcis (almond). Its description in RNAcentral is "sRNA ncRNA". The record is from RNAcentral. Lineage: Eukaryota; Viridiplantae; Streptophyta; Magnoliopsida; Rosales; Rosaceae.